Molecule: ribosomal RNA, 237 nt
Filed under: uncultured bacterium
Lineage: Bacteria
Description: partial 16S ribosomal RNA
Rfam family: Bacterial small subunit ribosomal RNA
Source: RNAcentral
GAUCCUGCUCAGGAUGAACGCUGGCGGCGUGCCUAACACAUGCAAGUCGGACGGAGCUGCUUUGAUGAAGUUUUCGGAUGGAUUUAAAACAGCUUAGUGGCGGACGGGUGAGUAACGCGUGGGUAACCUGCCUCACACUGGGGGAUAACAGUUAGAAAUAGCUGCUAAUACCGCAUAAGCGCACGGUUCCGCAUGGAACAGUGUGAAAAACUCCGGUGGUGUCAGAUGGACCCGCGU